UACAUGUGGGGCAAGCGUUGUUCGGAAUUACUGGGCAUAAAGGGUGCGUAGGCGGUUUGUUAAGUCACAGGUGAAAGUUUUCGGCCCAACCGGAAAAUUGCCUGCGAUACUGGCGAACUUGAGUGCGUGAGGGGUUGGGGGAACGAGCAGUGUAGCGGUGAAAUGCGUAGAUAUCAGGAGGAACGCCGGAGGCGAAAGCGAGUGACUGGCGCGUUCCUGACGCUGAGGUGCGAAAGCUAGGGGAGCAAACAGG
RNAcentral lists this ribosomal RNA (253 nucleotides) under uncultured prokaryote. RNAcentral describes it as "partial 16S ribosomal RNA". It matches the Rfam family "Bacterial small subunit ribosomal RNA", at positions 524 to 776 of the family's 1533-position model. The record is from RNAcentral.